AGUACUAAUUGGAGGACCGAACCCAAUACUGUUGCAAAAGUAUGGGAUGAGCUGUGGAUCGGAGUGAAAGGCUAAUCAAGCACGGAGAUAGCUGGUUCUCCCCGAAAACUAUUUAGGUAGUGCCUCGUGUAUAACUCAUUGGGGUAAAGCACUGUUUCGACAAUGGGGGUUUUACGACCUUACUGACUCGAUGCAAACUCAGAAUACGAUGAAGUUCGAUCACGGGAGACACACUGCGGGUGCUAAGGUCCGCAGUGGAAAGGGAAACAGCCCAGACCGCCAACUAAGGUCCCAAAGUCAUAGCUAAGUGGGAAACGAAGUGGGAAGGCCCAGACAGCCAGGAGGUUGGCUUAGAAGCAGCCACCCUUUAAAGAAAGCGUAAUAGCUCACUGGUCGAGUCGGCCUGCACGUAAGAUUUAACGGGGCUAAGCUAUGCACUGAAGUUGCGGAAUAUAUUUAGUAUAUUGGUAGGGGAGCGUUCUGUAAGCCGAUGAAGGUGAAUUGAGAAGUUUGCUGGAGGUAUCAGAAGUGCGAAUGCUGACAUGAGUAACGUAAAAUAAGUGAGAUUCUUAUUGGCCGAAAACCCAAGGGUUCCUACGCAAUGUUAAUCAACGUAGGGUAAGCCGGCCCCUAAGGCGUGGAAAGGGAAACAGCCCAGACCGCCAACUAAGGUCCCAAAGUCAUAGCUAAGUGGGAAACGAAGUGGGAAGGCCCAGACAGCCAGGAGGUUGGCUUAGAAGCAGCCACCCUUUAAAGAAAGCGUAAUAGCUCACUGGUCGAGUCGGCCUGCACGUAAGAUUUAACGGGGCUAAGCUAUGCACUGAAGUUGCGGAAUAUAUUUAGUAUAUUGGUAGGGGAGCGUUCUGUAAGCCGAUGAAGGUGAAUUGAGAAGUUUGCUGGAGGUAUCAGAAGUGCGAAUGCUGACAUGAGUAACGUAAAAUAAGUGAGAUUCUUAUUGGCCGAAAACCCAAGGGUUCCUACGCAAUGUUAAUCAACGUAGGGUAAGCCGGCCCCUAAGGCGUAGCUGAAGAGUGAAGUCGAUGGGAAACAGGUUAAUAUUCCUGUGCUGCUUAUAUGAACGAAGGAGGGACGGAGAAGGUUAGGUAGGCCUGGCGAAUGGUUGUCCAGGUGAAAGUAUGUAGGUAGGAAUGCUAGGCAAAUCCGGUGUUCUGUUGAUCUGAGAUACGAGACGAAGUUAAACUUGUUUGACGAAGCUAUUGAUACCAUGCUUCCAGGAAAAGCUUCUAAGUAUAUUGUAUAAGUGACCGUACUGUAAACCGACACUGGUGGGUAGGUAGAGAAUACUAAGGCUAUGAGAUAACUCUGGUGAAGGAACUAGGCAAAAUGACACCGUAACUUUGGAAGAAGGUGUGCCCUUGAUGGUGAUGAGACUUGCUCUUUGAGCUGUUGGGGGUUGCAGAUACCAGGUGGCUGCGACUGUUUAUCAAAAACACAGCACUCUGCGAAAUCGUAAGAUGAAGUAUAGGGUGUGACGCCUGCCCGGUGCUGGAAGGUUAAUUGAAGGGGUUAGCGCAAGCGAAGCUCUGGAUCGAAGCCCCAGUAAACGGCGGCCGUAACUAUAACGGUCCUAAGGUAGCGAAAUUCCUUGUCGGGUAAGUUCCGACCUGCACGAAUGGCGUAACGAUGGCCACACUGUCUCCACCAGAGACUCAGUGAAAUUGAAAUCGCUGUGAAGAUGCAGUGUACCCGCGGUUAGACGGAAAGACCCCGUGAACCUUUACUAUAGCUUUGCACUGGACUUUGAAUAUUUAUGUGUAGGAUAGGUGGGAGACCAUGAAGCAGCUACGCCAGUAGUUGUGGAGUCGUCCUUGAAAUACCACCCUUGAAUAUUUGAAGUUCUAACUCAGGAGAGAUUCGAGGACAGUGUAUGGUGGGUAGUUUGACUGGGGCGGUCUCCUCCUAAAGAGUAACGGAGGAGUACGAAGGUGCACUCGGUACGGUCGGAAAUCGUGCCAAGAGUAUAAAGGCAAAAGUGCGCUUGACUGCGAGAGUGACGGCUCGAGCAGGUACGAAAGUAGGUCUUAGUGAUCCGGUGGUCCCGAAUGGAAGGGUCAUCGCUCAACGGAUAAAAGGUACUCCGGGGAUAACAGGCUAAUUCCUCCCAAGAGUUCAUAUCGACGGAGGAGUUUGGCACCUCGAUGUCGGCUCAUCACAUCCUGGGGCUGAAGUAGGUCCCAAGGGUAUGGCUGUUCGCCAUUUAAAGUGGUACGCGAGCUGGGUUCAGAACGUCGUGAGACAGUUCGGUCCCUAUCUGCCGUGGGCGUUAGAGAUUUGAGAAGAGUUGCUCCUAGUACGAGAGGACCGGAGUGAACGAACCACUGGCGUUCCGGUUGUUUCGCCAGAAGCAUUGCCGGGUAGCUACGUUUGGACGGGAUAAACGCUGAAAGCAUCUAAGCGUGAAGCCUCCUUCAAGAUUAGAUCUCUCUGAUGAAAAUCAGUAAGGAACGUUGGAGACUACGACGUUGAUAGGCUGGGUGUGGAAGUACAGCAAUGUAUGAAGCUUACCAGUACUAAUGAUCCGAGAGACUUAAGUCUAU
This 2558-nucleotide ribosomal RNA is filed under the name Francisella tularensis. Its description in RNAcentral is "partial 23S ribosomal RNA". It matches the Rfam family "Bacterial large subunit ribosomal RNA", at positions 758 to 2925 of the family's 2925-position model. Lineage: Bacteria; Pseudomonadati; Pseudomonadota; Gammaproteobacteria; Thiotrichales; Francisellaceae. The record is from RNAcentral.